GCCCAUAGCUCAGUUGGUUAGAUCAUGGUGCUGGUAACACCAAGGUUGCAGGUUUGAUCCCCAUAUGGGGCA
Molecule: transfer RNA, 72 nt
Filed under: Podarcis lilfordi (Lilford's wall lizard)
Lineage: Eukaryota; Metazoa; Chordata; Lepidosauria; Squamata; Lacertidae
Description: tRNA.Thr
Source: RNAcentral